GACGAACGCUGGCGGCGCGCUUAACACAUGCAAGUCGAACGGAAAGGCCUGCUUUCCCUUGUGGAUUGCGGGUACUCGAGUGGCGAACGGGUGAGUAACACGUGAGUGAUCUGCCCCCAACUUGGGUAUAAGCCUGGGAAACUGGGUCUAAUUCCCGAUAGGACUGCAGGGUGGUGCCUGUGGUGGAAAACGAUUUUCUAGUGGUUGGGGAUGAGCUCGCGGCCUAUCAGCUUGUUGGUGGGGUAAUGGCCUACCAAGGCAGCGACGGGUAGCCGGCCUGAGAGGGUGGACGGCCACAUUGGGACUGAGAUACGGCCCAGACUCCUACGGGAGGCAGCAGUGGGGAAUAUUGCACAAUGGGCGGAAGCCUGAUGCAGCGACGCCGCGUGGGGGAUGACGGCCUUCGGGUUGUAAACUCCUUUCGACCGCGAGGAAGCCACCUGGUUGGAAGGGUGGUGACGGUAGCGGUAGAAGAAGCACCGGCUAACUACGUG
This 494-nucleotide ribosomal RNA is filed under the name uncultured bacterium. RNAcentral's name for it is "partial 16S ribosomal RNA". It matches the Rfam family "Bacterial small subunit ribosomal RNA", at positions 28 to 507 of the family's 1533-position model. The record is from RNAcentral.